Molecule: ribosomal RNA, 141 nt
Filed under: uncultured bacterium
Lineage: Bacteria
Description: partial 16S rRNA
Rfam family: Bacterial small subunit ribosomal RNA
Source: RNAcentral
UGGGGAAUUUUCCGCAAUGGGCGAAAGCCUGACGGAGCAAUGCCGCGUAGAGGUGGAAGGCCUACGGGUCGUCAACUUCUUUUCUCGGAGAAGAAACAAUGACGGUAUCUGAGGAAUAAGCAUCGGCUAACUCUGUGCCUG